AAAGGAAUCUAAGAGCAGCAAGAGAAAGGAAGCAAAUAACAUAUAAAGGAACUCCAGGAGUGAUGGCUGCUCAGGUCUGGGGGAUCAGGGGAAGUGUUGGAGCACAGGGAGAUUCUGCCAGCCUAUUGGCAGUGGCGGAGACUCAAGGGUGGGGUCUUGGGGCCCAGGCACAGCCCUAGAGUCUUAGGGGGGUUGCAGGCCCAGCAGGGGGCCGAGCCUCAGGCUGGGGCCCAGUGAGAGCUUCAAAGCUGGAUCUGGAGAUUACAGAGGCAGAGCUACACCGCUGGAGGGCUGUUCUGCGGCGUGGAGACUGUUGAUGCCCACUUCCUUAUGGUGAGCAGGGUUUUGUGUCAGUGGCCCAGGGACGUCAUAAGCGGGCCAGAGCUGCUGGUCAGACAAGGUUCUCUGCCACACCUAGGACCCACUGAGGCAGUCACCCAAGGCUUCCCAGGUGGAUCCUGCGUUGUCUGAGGCCUCCUCUGCUCAGAUCCCAUGCAGGGAGGAGGCAGGCUUGGCCCCCAGUCACAGGGCGCAGCACCAGGGAGCACCUGUUCCGUCUGCUCCCUCCCCAGCCUGGCAGGUGUGACGUGAAGGCUACUGCUGGAAGGCUGAGUCCCAAGUGCACCUGGCGCCAGGCACCAGAGCAGUCGGAAUGGCACUGGCUGCAGCAGCCCAGGAUCAGCCGCCACCAGAGCUUUGCCGCACGUCUCUCCAGCGCGGCGUCCCUGCAGACUCCAGCAGCUCCCGCUCAGCUCAGAGGUCUGCAGUGGAGGAGAGAGACCCCUCACGGCAACUUUUAUUCCUCUCCUAAAAAUUGGCGACCCCUUGGGCUGCUUCUAUUCCAUUGUCUUCCCCUCCCCAGCGGUGUGAAUUAUGUCGGGACCCCCAGCUUAAUCUCUGAAUUGGUGGGUGGUGCUUGAAGACCCCCCAGAGGACAGAGCCAAGAGCUACGCAGAACAACAGAUUGGGUGCUAUCGUUCUGGGUCCAGAAUCAAGACCUCAUCAAGGAACAUUGCCACCCUUAUGGCAAAAAAGGAUGCAGAGGAAGAUCGUACUGCAGAAGUUUUCCAGAAGACUUCAAUUGAAGCAUCAGCAAAACUUAAAUGUAAUGAGAGAAUUUUGUGACUCUGGGGGUGUUUUUCCCCUAGUUCCCUGCUCAAUUCCCUUGCCUGGGUUCCCUGAUGUGCUUGACUUCUGUGCUGCUCAGAGGAGGCUGAUACCUGUCUACAUAUCCAAGAAUAGGUCUGUUCUGGAGUUGUUCUCAUAAGUCAGCAAGCUGUCAAGAAACCUGAGAUGUGAUCCAUGCACUUGGCAGAGACUCCCAUCAAGAUAAGAGCUGGGCUCCCUCUCACCUCAUGGACAGCUAAAGGGUGGAAGGUGGAUUUAUUGAUUGGCCCUAUGCUGCAUCCAAGCACUUUGGCCAGGACUGGACACUCAUCUCCAAGAUGACAGUAAAUAGGCCCGAUGUUUGCUGUCAUGAUGUUCCCCAGCCUGCCACCUAGACACUUGUCCUCGCCACUUUAACCUCUUGUUCAAGGUUGUGCUGAUGUGAAUGUAACCCCAGCUUUCUGCCUGCCCAGUAUGCGUGUGGCCAGGACUGCAAAUUGAGCAUUUUGGCACCAGGCAAGAGAUCUUCCUAGGCUUACAACCAAAAUUUCCUAAAGAUACUGAGACUAGGCCCUUUCCAGACCCCACUGCCAAAGAGAAUCAGAGAUGAGAUCUGGGAGUCAUCCAGAUCCUCCAGACCCCUCCCUAGUGAAAAUGGACUUGGACCCAAACAGGUGACUCAAGUGACCAUAAGAACACCAGCCCAGCUGCUAAGCAUUGACCUCCUGCCUCCCAGACCUCACUUGAGUCCCAUCAAAACCUACCCUGCCCCCAACCUCCACCAUUCAGACCAGUUCCAGAACAGCCCCUCAGAAUUGUCUUCAGGAGGUGGGAUAAGGGGUGGUGGGUCUCCUGGCUCAGAACAGCUGCCUCAUCCCUCCCUCCGGAGAAGUCUGUGCCUGCUGCUCAAAGCCCUCACACCUCAGGGGGCUCAGCCCAUGUCCCACUGAAUGUCCCCUAAGAGGACAUUCUGGUCUCCUCCUCUGAGAAAGAGAGUGCCCAGGAAUGAGACCCUCCAUGCUAGGAAACACACAGCCUCCACUCUCCUACCACUUGCUUGGCUGAUGAACUGAUGCCCUGAGGAGGGAAAAGAUGAAGGGAACAGCCUGUAUCUGCUGAGUCUGUGUCCCCAGCCCUGGUGCCUGUGCAAAUGGAACCUCCAAAUAAUAUUCAAAUUGAAGUUGAAUUUAAAUGGAAAUUAUUAUAAUGUCUUAUAAAUUGUGUUAGUUAAUUUUAUAAGAA
Non-coding RNA from Microcebus murinus (gray mouse lemur), 2349 nucleotides. Lineage: Eukaryota; Metazoa; Chordata; Mammalia; Primates; Cheirogaleidae. The record is from RefSeq and is a predicted model, not a curated record.